GACGGAGGGUGCCAGCGUUGCUCGGAAUGAUUGGGCAUAAAGGGUCCGCAGGCGGUCUUAUAAGUCAGUGGUGAAAGCCUACAGCUCAACUGUAGAACUGCCAUUGAUACUGUAAGACUUGAAUUCGGUCGAAGUGGGCGGAAUAUGACAUGUAGCGGUGAAAUGCUUAGAUAUGUCAUAGAACACCGAUAGCGAAGGCAGCUCACUAGGCCUGGAUUGACGCUCAGGGACGAAAGCGUGGGGAGCAAACAGG
RNAcentral lists this ribosomal RNA (253 nucleotides) under uncultured bacterium. RNAcentral's name for it is "partial 16S ribosomal RNA". It matches the Rfam family "Bacterial small subunit ribosomal RNA", at positions 524 to 776 of the family's 1533-position model. The record is from RNAcentral.